Molecule: non-coding RNA, 22 nt
Filed under: Ornithorhynchus anatinus (platypus)
Lineage: Eukaryota; Metazoa; Chordata; Mammalia; Monotremata; Ornithorhynchidae
Also listed under: 1 other name
Gene: oan-miR-146a-5p
Source: miRBase by way of RNAcentral
UGAGAACUGAAUUCCACGGGUU